CGCUGGCGGCGUGCUUAACACCUGCAAGUCGAACGGCAAGGCCCUGCUUUUGUGGGGUGCUCGAGUGGCGAACGGGUGAGUAACACGUGAGUAACCUGCCCUUGACUUUGGGAUAACUUCAGGAAACUGGGGCUAAUACCGGAUAGGAGCUCCUGCUGCAUGGUGGGGGUUGGAAAGUUUCGGCGGUUGGGGAUGGACUCGCGGCUUAUCAGCUUGUUGGUGGGGUAGUGGCUUACCAAGGCUUUGACGGGUAGCCGGCCUGAGAGGGUGACCGGCCACAUUGGGACUGAGAUACGGCCCAGACUCCUACGGGAGGCAGCAGUGGGGAAUAUUGCACAAUGGGCGGAAGCCUGAUGCAGCAACGCCGCGUGCGGGAUGACGGCCUUCGGGUUGUAAACCGCUUUCGCCUGUGACGAAGCGUGAGUGACGGUAAUGGGUAAAGAAGCACCGGCUAACUACGUG
RNAcentral lists this ribosomal RNA (462 nucleotides) under uncultured bacterium. Its description in RNAcentral is "partial 16S ribosomal RNA". It matches the Rfam family "Bacterial small subunit ribosomal RNA", at positions 34 to 507 of the family's 1533-position model. The record is from RNAcentral.